CCUACGGGUGGCAGCAGUGGGGAAUUUUGGACAAUGGGCGCAAGCCUGAUCCAGCUAUUCCGCGUGUGGGAUGACGGCCCUCGGGUUGUAAACCACUUUAGUAGAGAACGAAAAGGAGCUAUCGAAUAAAUAGCUCUGCUGACGGUACUCUAAGAAUAAGCACCGGCUAACUACGUGCCAGCAGCCGCGGUAAUACGUAGGGUGCGAGCGUUAAUCGGAAUUACUGGGCGUAAAGGGUGUGCAGGCGGCUGAGUAAGACAAAUGUGAAAUCCCCGGGCUCAACGUGGGAACUGCAUAUGUGACUGGUUGGCUAGAGUGGGUGAGAGGGAGGUGGAAUUCCAGGUGUAGCAGUGAAAUGCGUAGAUAUCUGGAAGAACACCGAUGGCGAAGGCAGCCACCUGGGACGCAACUGACGCUGAGACACGAAAGCGUGGGGAGCAAACAGGAUUAGAUACCCGAGUAGUC
Molecule: ribosomal RNA, 465 nt
Filed under: uncultured bacterium
Lineage: Bacteria
Description: partial 16S ribosomal RNA
Rfam family: Bacterial small subunit ribosomal RNA
Source: RNAcentral